UGCGAUCGUUGUUUUGGUUGUUGGCUUGCGUGGUUACGCGUCUGCGGUGUCCUUUAAGUGGAUCCUCAGCCAUCCGUAAUCGAUGAUUUCGUUUUCGGAUAGGACGAUCCAUCGAUCGUUGAUUUCGUUUUCGGAUUGGAUUAUCUGUUUCCGAUAGGUGGUGCAUCCAAAUCCUCAGCCAUCCCUUAAUCGUUGAUUUCGUUUUCGGAUUGGAUGAUCUGUUUCCGAUACUUGAAACUGAUCUACUUUCCAUGCGGGGUGUAUCAAAAGCCUUGAAACUGAUCUGUUUGGAUGAUCGUUUUCGGAUUGGAUGAUCUGUUUUCGGAUAGAGGGCUUCACAAUUUUGCCGGAUUAAGGCUAUUUGCGACCGAUUUUAUAUGUACUUUCGAAGCGGUAGGUGAGGCUUUGGUGUUUGUGUGGGUAUUAUCUUAAUGGAACCCUCGCGGAGUCUGUGAGGCAAUUUGUGAAGGUUGCUCUGGUUUUCCGAAAUGAUCUGAACAAGGGAUGUGUUCUUUUUGAUCUGGUUUAGUUGGCCUUCGUUACUUUCAACUUUUAUUUGUUGCAUUUAUGUCCACCAGUUGGUUAUGUUUGUUUGUUUUUAUUUUUUGUGUGCAAGGGAAAGCUUCUGGAUAUGAUAUUUGAAAUAGAGAUGUGUGUGUUUUGCUACCAUGCUAUGAUAUUUGGUUUGAGAUAUACGCUAACGGUAUCUGCAUCAAUGCUGUGUCUUUUGGAUACUCUAGUUGGAUUUAGACGGGUAUCAGGGAAGAGUUCCAUCAACUUCUCAUUUUUUGAGGGUUUUUGUGGGCAGUUGCCGAAGCAUCAUCGUUAGGCAUGAUUCUAUUAAAUAGAGAUGAUUCUAUAUGUGUCAUCGACGCUGUUGGUGGGGCUCUGGUGUUUUUGUGAUUAUUAUCUGUAUGGAGCCACACGUAGCUGUGAUGCAGUUUGUAAAGGAUGCUCCAAUUAAGGAUGCUCUGGUUUUUGUUGAAUGAUUUAAAUAGGUUUUCCAUUAGAUAGUGUUAUAUUUAAGGGGUUUCAUUGUUGUGACAUACGUUGCUUAUUAUGAUGGAUCCAGGGCUUCCGAAAUUAUCUGAACAGUGGAUAUGUCCGGUUUGUGCUGGUUUAGUCAGCCCUUGUUACUUUCAAACAUUAAUUGUUGCCCUUACGUGCACAAGUUGGUCAUUUGAUACGGUUCUCAUCAAAGUAUGGUUGUUUGUUUUUAUUUGUUGUCUGCUAGGGGAAGCUGAUGGACAUCUAGUUUUGCAUGGGCAUGGGACAUUUCUUUGAAAGUGAGAUGAUUUAAAUUGGGUAUAUGGAAGGUUAUUUUGUUUGCCUAUUUGGUUUAUUACAUCCAGUUGUAUUCUUGGCUGCUCUUUCCAGAUGAAAUUUGGAUUUUCUGUCCUGGUUUUCUACAAUUAGUUAUGACGUUUGGUAGCAGGAUUUUAUUUUGGAGUUAAUACAUUUCUAAAUUGGGUUAAUUACAUCCUUUGGUGUUCUUGGCUGGUUGUAUUAGAGGAAGUCAGAUAAUUUUGUUGAAUAACUUGAAUUCUGUGGUCAUUAUUUCCAUUGGCGUCAUUGCUGUUCAUUUAUUGCCAAAAUGCAGUCCAACAGUGCAAAGUUGUUACAUUUGAAAGGUCAUUAUUUUCACCGACUUUUUGAUCCUUUGGCUUAUAAAAGUUCUCUGCUGCGUUUCUCUUCCUUUUAAUUAACUUCCAUUUCUCUUUUGAAUCAUGUUUCCUUUAUCUUGUGUGGAAGCUAGGACGUGGUAAUGAUUUUACGUACAGGUACCUGUGCUAUUAAGGUGUCUUUGUUGGUGAUCUUGGGUUAUGAUAAUUGUACUUGAUUGUUAUAUCGAUAAGGUGUCUUUGUUGGUGAUCUUGGGUUAUGAUAAUUGUACUUGAUUGUUAUAUCGAUUUUUGAAUCAAUUCAAUGGCACAAUUGAUGGCUUCAAAAACAAGUGGGUUUUAAGAUACAUUGUUACUUUUUUCUUGUAUCAAGUUGGAGGGAGGUACAGACAUGCUGUGUUCUCUUGUUUUUCCUUGAAAUUCAUUUUAUAUUGCUGAUUUUUAUGAGAAGUUAUCUUCUCAGGCUGAUGUACUUUUUGCUGCUCAUUUUAUGUGAUGUUUGUCUACUUGAAGCUUGUUUUGGGAGCUGGGUUUCAUGUUAAGAAAGUUGGGUUUCUCUUCAGUAUGGAGCCUUCAUAUUGUAAACAAAGGAGUCCAAUUUUCAUCAAGGAAUAUUCUUGUGGGAACCCAAUUGCUAAUUGAAUAUAUUUCCUUUAUGAAGAUUCUUCAACCAUAGCUGAUACAAACAAGUUUACAAGAUUGUUGUUUUGGUUUGCAUGAUGAAGAGAAUAGAAGUUCUACCUGUACUCCUGGUGAUGUGAACAAUGUAGUUGGAACAUCUACGGAAAGCCUAGCAUGAUUAAACAGAAAUUCAUGGGAAAGAUUUUAUUGGCUUUAACUGGUUUUCCCAGGAUUAACAUUAGAUUGAAAAGCUUGGAACUGACAUUUGAAUUGAUCCACUAGUACCUGUUGCUAUUCCCCAUGAUAUUUGCAAGUUUUGGUUCGAUUUUGUUCU
Molecule: long non-coding RNA, 2577 nt
Organism: Musa acuminata AAA Group (dessert banana)
Lineage: Eukaryota; Viridiplantae; Streptophyta; Magnoliopsida; Zingiberales; Musaceae
Exons: 7
Source: RefSeq, a predicted model, not a curated record